GUCUUAAGUAAAGCAAGGUUAUAAAACGACACACUAUAUCCUCCCGCACGCCAAGGGAUAUGGCAUUCGCUGUCAAGGCUGUUGUCAGCGUCACGCUAAGUGAAAAAGCUUUCCUCGGUUGAACUUUUCCUUCAGAAAUAAAAAUCGCCAAAAAAAAGAAAAUGAAUGUCAUAAUUCAAUUUGUUUGGAAGAUUAUAUAGAUGAGCUAUGACAAACAUGAAUGAUGGUAGCAUAAUUAUGGAAUCGUAAAACUGGAUUAGAACACUGUCGAGUUGGAUUUCUUUCUUGGAUACAACGAUUAUUGUUCUGUUGAAUAAGCCCAUUGGCGAUAUUCAGAUGAUCUGUGUCGAACGUUGCAGCAUAAAAAUGAAAUCAUAAAACUAGACUAGAACUCUUGCCAAUUCGGAAGAUAUUAGAUUUGUUUCUGGAAUAACGAUUGUUGUUCUGUUGAAUAAGCACACUGGCGAUACGCAUCAGUGAAAAAACACUUAAUUAAACCCAUCUUCGUAUUUAUUCGCAAAUAAUGUAGACAUCAGCCAUUCGCUUUCAUUGUACCAUGUUUCACAACAUGUUUUCGAAGCACAAUCCGAAAUACUCAAACUGAUUGACGUGUAGGAUGUGACCAAUGAAAACGGUACUUUAGAAUUACGAUUGAAGAGAUUCUUUUGGAAUAUAAUAAGUUUUUAAGAAAAAAACAAUCGUACAAAAGACAUUUAUGUUGGUGACAGUUCUUGGAUCUUGAAUGAUAUUAAAUAAUAUGUUCUGUUCGCCAAUUAUAUAAAAAACGAUGCCAAAACGUGUCUAUGUGGAAUAUUUGAUAAGUUCUGUGACAAUUGUUUAGAAAAUGACUGUAUUUCGUUAGAAUAUUUAAUUUAGCAUAAUUAUUGUGCUUUAUUUUUAAAAACUGUUGAUUAAGUGGUAGAUUGGUUAAUUGCUCUGCCUUCAUGUUUUGGAAAGUUUAUUACUGAUUUAUAUUAAACAUUUAUGCUUCAAGUCAAGAUAGUUAGGUUGGAAUUUUGGAAUAUAUUGUAAUGCAUAACUUUUUGCAAUAGUUUAGAUUUUCAAUUUGUUCUUCCAAAAAAAAUCCAUAUUGCGUUUAAUUGAUCAUACUUCUCCAAUUCAAGACACACUAAAACUUUUUAAGAAUUAUGGAAAGCUAUUUUAGUGCAUUUUCGAGAUUUUUUCAAAGAAACUUGAGGACUAUAGCUAGCUCACCUUUCUUAGUCUUUAAAAUCUUUUGAAGGGCGUUCGAAACGGACCAUUAUCAACGUCAAUUUUCGUCAAUUUUAUAGUAUUUAGCUGCUUAAAAAAUGCAAAUCUUAAUCUUUACCUGUUUGUGGAUAUUUCUUAAAGUGUUGCCAACCUAUUCAGAAGAACCCGUAAUUAUUCUUGGUGAAGAAGACACUAUUGAAGAAAAACUUCCAAAUUCCCAUAGUGCAGCCAUAGCUAUGGGCUUCGUGUUUCUCCUGGUAUUUCUGUACUGUAUAUACAGAGUGUGUACGAAGCAGUGCUGCCCUCAACCAGUUAUAGCAAAUGUUGACGAGCCAUCUCCCGACGAGAUAGACAAUUACAUUAAAGAACAUCAAGCCUACUUGGCUAUUUACGGACAAAAGCAGGACCCUAGAAGGAAUUCUUGCAUAUGUGAAUACAAGUCUGAGACAAAUGUACAGAAUGGAAAUCCAGUCAGAUAUUGACAAAUUUACCAACAGGCUGAAGUUAUGGAUUAGAAACCUACUCAGUGAAACUUUUCUUUUAUUCAGACUUAAACAAUUAACCACUAAAGUACAAAAGACAGUGUUGUUGCCUGUAUUUUCGUAUCAAGUGUAGAUAGAAAGCAGUAUUAAGUGUAUAAACCAUUAAACUCAGCAGAAGUGUAGUUUUAAUUAUGAUUAAAAUAAUAAUAAAUACUUA
This is a long non-coding RNA of Parasteatoda tepidariorum (common house spider), 1911 nucleotides long. The record is from RefSeq and is a predicted model, not a curated record. Lineage: Eukaryota; Metazoa; Arthropoda; Arachnida; Araneae; Theridiidae.